Molecule: transfer RNA, 74 nt
Filed under: Chlorobiota bacterium
Lineage: Bacteria; Pseudomonadati; Chlorobiota
Description: tRNA-Arg
Rfam family: tRNA
About the family: Transfer RNA (tRNA) molecules are approximately 80 nucleotides in length. Their secondary structure includes four short double-helical elements and three loops (D, anti-codon, and T loops).
Source: RNAcentral
GGUCUCGUAGUUCAGUUGGAUAGAACGCAGGUUUCCUAAACCUGAUGUCGCAGGUUCGAGUCCUGCCGAGACCG